This 524-nucleotide ribosomal RNA is filed under the name uncultured bacterium. Its description in RNAcentral is "bacterial SSU rRNA". It matches the Rfam family "Bacterial small subunit ribosomal RNA", at positions 153 to 653 of the family's 1533-position model. The record is from RNAcentral.
GAAAGCGAUGCUAAUACCGGAUAAUAUCUUAAAAACCUCGGUUUUAAAGAUCAAAGGUGGCCUCUACAUGUAAGCUUCUGUUUGGGGAUGAGCCCGCGUACCAUUAGCUUGUUGGUAGGGUAAUGGCCUACCAAGGCUGCGAUGGUUAGCUGGUCUGAGAGGAUGAUCAGCCACACUGGAACUGACACACGGUCCAGACUCCUACGGGAGGCAGCAGUGAGGAAUUUUGCGCAAUGGGGGAAACCCUGACGCAGCAACGCCGCGUGAGUGAUGAAGGCUUUAGGGUCGUAAAGCUCUGUCAAGUGGGAAGAACCCACAUGGUGAUAAUACCGCCAUGUGCUGACGGUACCACUGAAGGAAGCACCGGCUAACUCCGUGCCAGCAGCCGCGGUAAUACGGGGGGUGCAAGCGUUAUUCGGAAUUACUGGGCGUAAAGAGCGCGUAGGCGGUCUCUUAAGUCGGAUGUGAAAGCCCGGGGCUCAACCCCGGAAGUGCACUCGAAACUAAGGGACUUGAGUAUGGGA